This 522-nucleotide ribosomal RNA is filed under the name uncultured bacterium. Its description in RNAcentral is "bacterial SSU rRNA". It matches the Rfam family "Bacterial small subunit ribosomal RNA", at positions 28 to 530 of the family's 1533-position model. The record is from RNAcentral.
GAUGAACGCUAGCGGCAGGCCUAACACAUGCAAGUCGAGGGGUAGAAGGAGCUUGCUCCUUUGAGACCGGCGCACGGGUGCGUAACGCGUAUGCAAUCUACCUUGUACAGGGGAAUAGCCCAGAGAAAUUUGGAUUAAUGCCCCAUAGUAUAUAACCUUCGCAUGUUGGUUAUAUUAAAGUUCCAACGGUACAAGAUGAGCAUGCGUCCCAUUAGUUAGUUGGUAAGGUAACGGCUUACCAAGACGAUGAUGGGUAGGGGUCCUGAGAGGGAGAUCCCCCACACUGGUACUGAGACACGGACCAGACUCCUACGGGAGGCAGCAGUGAGGAAUAUUGGUCAAUGGUCGCAAGACUGAACCAGCCAUGCCGCGUGCAGGAAGACGGUCCUAUGGAUUGUAAAACUGCUUUUUAAACAGGAAACAACCCUCCACGUGUGGGAUCUUGGACGGUACUGGUAAGGAAAUAAAGGACGUCGGCUUAAACCGUCCGGUCGCCAAGGCCAAGGCCCGGUACGGUUAAAU